UCUGGUUGAUCCUGCCAGAGGUCACCGCUAUUGGAAUCCGAUUAAGCCAUGCGAGUCUAAAGGACUUCGGUCCUUGGCAGACGGCUCAGUAACACGCGGAUAAUCUGCCCUUGGGUGGGGAACAAUCUCGGGAAACUGAGCAUAAUUCCCCAUAGGCAUAGAAUGCUGGAAUGCUUCUAUGCUCAAAGCCCCGGCGCCCAAGGAUGAGUCUGCGGCCUAUCAGGUAGUAGUGGGUGUAAUGGACCCACUAGCCUUUGACGGGUACGGGCCUUGAGAGAGGUAGCCCGGAGAUGGACUCUGAGACACGAGUCCAGGCCCUACGGGGCGCAGCAGGCGCGAAAACUUCGCAAUGUGGGAAACCACGACGAGGGGAUUCCAAGUGCCAUGGCAUUGCUAUGGCUGUUCAUGUGCCUAAAAAGCACGUGAAGUAAGGGCUGGGUAAGACGGGUGCCAGCCGCCGCGGUAAUACCCGCAGCCCAAGUGGUGAUCGCUAUUAUUGAGCCUAAAGCGUCCGUAGCCUGUCUGAUAAAUCCUUGGGUAAAUCGAACAGCUCAACUGUUCGAAGUCCGAGGUGACUGUCAGACUUGGAACCGGAAGAGGUCAGAGGUACUCCGGGGGUAGGGGUGAAAUCCUGUAAUCCUCGGGGGACCACCAGUGGCGAAGGCGUCUGACUAGAACGGAUUCGACGGUAAGGGACGAAGCCCUGGGGCGCAAACCGGAUUAGAUACCCGGGUAGUCCAGGGUGUAAACGCUGCAGGCUUGGUGUCGGGGGUCCUACGAGGGCACUCGGUGCCGGAGAGAAGUUGUUAAGCCUGCCGCUUGGGGAGUACGGUCGCGAGACUGAAACUUAAAGGAAUUGGCGGGGGAGCACAGCAACGGGAGGAGCGUGCGGUUCAAUUGGAUUCAACGCCGUAAAACUCACCGGGAGCGACGGUUACAUGAAGGUCAAGCUGAUGACUUUACCUGAUUUUCCGAGAGGUGGUGCAUGGCCGCCGUCAGUUCGUACCGUAAGGCGUUCUGUUAAGUCAGAUAACGAACGAGACCCUCGCUCUUAAUUGCCAGCCUUCCCUCCGGGGAAGGGGAACAUUAAGAGAACCGCUGGCGCUAAGUCAGAGGAAGGCGAGGUCAACGGUAGGUCAGUAUGCCCCGAAUCUCCCGGGCUACACGCGCGCUACAAAGGACAGGACAAUGGGAUUCAACACCGAGAGGUGAAGGUAACCUCGAAACCUGUCCGUAGUUCGGAUUGAGGGCUGUAACUCGCCCUCAUGAAGCUGGAUUCCGUAGUAAUCGCAGAUCAACAUCCUGCGGUGAAUAUGCCCCUGCUCCUUGCACACACCGCCCGUCAAACCAUCUGAGUUGGGUCUGGAUGAGGGCACCCUUGAUUGGGGUGUUCGAAUCUAGGCUCAGCAAGGAGGGUUAAGUCGUAACAAGGUA
This 1434-nucleotide ribosomal RNA is filed under the name metagenome. RNAcentral's name for it is "bacterial SSU rRNA". It matches the Rfam family "Archaeal small subunit ribosomal RNA". The record is from RNAcentral.